AGUCGAACGGCAGCACGGACUUCGGUCUGGUGGCGAGUGGCGAACGGGUGAGUAAUAUAUCGGAACGUACCCUAGAGUGGGGGAUAACGCAUCGAAAGGUGUGCUAAUACCGCAUACGUCCUGAGGGAGAAAGUGGGGGAUCGCAAGACCUCACGUUAUUGGAGUGGCCUACGCCUGAUUAGCUAGUUGGUGAGGUAAAGGCUCACCAAGGCGACGAUCAGUAGCUGGUCUGAGAGGACGACCAGCCACACUGGAACUGAGACACGGUCCAGACUCCUACGGGAGGCAGCAGUGGGGAAUUUUGGACAAUGGGCGCAAGCCUGAUCCAGCCAUUCCGCGUGAGUGAAGAAGGCCUUCGGGUUGUAAAGCUCUUUCGCAAGGGAAGAAAACUUAGUCUCUAACAUAGACUGAGGUUGACGGUACCUUGAUAAGAAGCACCGGCUAACUACGUGCCAGCAGCCGCGGUAAUACGUAGGGUGCGAGCGUUAAUCGGAAUUACUGGGCGUAAAGCGUGCGCAGGCGGUUUUGUAAGUCAGAUGUGAAAUCCCCGAGCUCAACUUGGGAACUGCGUUUGAAACUACAAGACUAGAAUAUGUCAGAGGGGGGUAGAAUUCCACGUGUAGCAGUGAAAUGCGUAGAGAUGUGGAGGAAUAUCAAAAGCGAAGGCGAUCUGCUGGGAUGAUACUGACGCUGAGGCACGAAAGCGUGGGGAGCAAACAGGAUUAGAUACCCUGGU
Molecule: ribosomal RNA, 736 nt
Filed under: uncultured Pseudomonadota bacterium
Lineage: Bacteria; Pseudomonadati; Pseudomonadota
Description: bacterial SSU rRNA
Rfam family: Bacterial small subunit ribosomal RNA
Source: RNAcentral